CCUACGGGCGGCAGCAGUCGAGAAUCAUUCACAAUGGGGGAAACCCUGAUGGUGCGACGCCGCGUGGGGGAAUGAAGGUCUUCGGAUUGUAAACCCCUGUCAUGUGGGAGCAAAUUAAAAAGAUAGUACCACAAGAGGAAGAGACGGCUAACUCUGUGCCAGCAGCCGCGGUAAUACAGAGGUCUCAAGCGUUGUUCGGAAUCACUGGGCGUAAAGCGUGCGUAGGCUGUUUCGUAAGUCGUGUGUGAAAGGCGCGGGCUCAACCCGCGGACGGCACAUGAUACUGCGAGACUAGAGUAAUGGAGGGGGAACCGGAAUUCUCGGUGUAGCAGUGAAAUGCGUAGAUAUCGAGAGGAACACUCGUGGCGAAGGCGGGUUACUGGACAGUAACUGACGCUGAGGCACGAAGGCCAGGGGAGCGAAAGGGAUUAGAUACCCUGGUAGUC
This 446-nucleotide ribosomal RNA is filed under the name uncultured bacterium. Its description in RNAcentral is "partial 16S ribosomal RNA". It matches the Rfam family "Bacterial small subunit ribosomal RNA", at positions 338 to 795 of the family's 1533-position model. The record is from RNAcentral.